RNAcentral lists this ribosomal RNA (465 nucleotides) under Vreelandella stevensii. RNAcentral's name for it is "partial 16S ribosomal RNA". It matches the Rfam family "Bacterial small subunit ribosomal RNA", at positions 338 to 795 of the family's 1533-position model. Lineage: Bacteria; Pseudomonadati; Pseudomonadota; Gammaproteobacteria; Oceanospirillales; Halomonadaceae. The record is from RNAcentral.
CCUACGGGUGGCUGCAGUGGGGAAUAUUGGACAAUGGGGGGAACCCUGAUCCAGCCAUGCCGCGUGUGUGAAGAAGGCCCUCGGGUUGGAAAGCACUUUCAGUGAGGAAGAACGCCUGGUGGUUAAUACCCAUCAGGAAAGACAUCACUCACAGAAGAAGCACCGGCUAACUCCGUGCCAGCAGCCGCGGUAAUACGGAGGGUGCGAGCGUUAAUCGGAAUUACUGGGCGUAAAGCGCGCGUAGGUGGCUUGAUAAGCCGGUUGUGAAAGCCCCGGGCUCAACCUGGGAACGGCAUCCGGAACUGUCAAGCUAGAGUGAAGGAGAGGAAGGUAGAAUUCCCGGUGUAGCGGUGAAAUGCGUAGAGAUCGGGAGGAAUACCAGUGGCGAAGGCGGCCUUCUGGACUGACACUGACACUGAGGUGCGAAAGCGUGGGUAGCAAACAGGAUUAGAUACCCUUGUAGUC